CAAAAACAUACAAUAAUGAAAACUUUUUUAUUAUAAAUAUAAUAAAAAUAAAUAAUACCUAUUUAUAUUAUAACUUAUACGCAAUUAUUUAGUAGUAUUAUCAUUGGGUUACCCUAUAUUAUUUAUAAGCUAAGCAGUAUAUUAAGCAGUGAAAUGAUCCAAUUAAGCCCAUAAAAUAAUGGUCAGCAACAACAAAACCUUGGUUUUCAACUUUAUUUACUCUACAGCAUAUAAUACUAUGGAAAUUAAAUACAGCAGAGACGCGUUAUAACCAUGGGCACGCAUCGUCCGCGGGACAAACAACGGCGUCGUUUACACCGCUUAAUCCCGCGAUUCUGUGAUCUGGUCGUUCAUUCAUAGGUAUCUGGAUAAGUAUGCCCACCUGUAGUGAUACAAUAAGAAUAUAUAAAAGGGAUGUGAUGGUUCGCGUUUCCGAAUAAAUUUACUUAACUCGUGUAAAAAUGCGCUUAUUUCUGAUUUGUGCGUACCUAUACUAUGUUAUAUAAUAAAACGUGUAU
Long non-coding RNA from Aphis gossypii (cotton aphid), 518 nucleotides. RefSeq lists it as uncharacterized. The record is from RefSeq and is a predicted model, not a curated record. Lineage: Eukaryota; Metazoa; Arthropoda; Insecta; Hemiptera; Aphididae. The transcript has 3 exons.